Long non-coding RNA from Alligator sinensis (Chinese alligator), 2053 nucleotides. RefSeq lists it as uncharacterized. The record is from RefSeq and is a predicted model, not a curated record. Lineage: Eukaryota; Metazoa; Chordata; Crocodylia; Alligatoridae. The transcript has 3 exons.
GCUUGUGUUGGGAGUAGAAAUCUGGUUUGGUGAGUUUAAGAGCAGGGAGUAUACAAGAGACAACCUUGCUACUGUGAGAAGAGAGAACAAGGGAGGGGGAAGGAAAAAAAUAAGCUAACAGAGAUGAGACACUUAACAUUUUCUUCUCAGUCACAGUUUCAGUGUGGGCUCCUGAGAUCUUGCAGGCAUUACCAAGGCAAUAGGCAGAAACUGGCUCUGGAAGUGUACUAGUUUAACUUUUUUUUAUGCUUUAUGUCUAGUCAGGAAUUUGGUUUAAAGAGAGUGCCUUCUGAUUAGCACUCCUAUUUAGCACUUUGGAAUGUGCAGCUUAGGUCAGUGCGAAUCAGGGUUUUAGCUUAGCUGGUACUACUAAUUGCAAGUUCUCUGUACACCUCUUAGCACUCAGAAACUCUAAAGAAAGCAGAGUGAAGCAAGGAAGUGAAGGCUAAAAGAUCUGUUGUUCUAAACAGCAUUGUAAGGAGUUGCUCAACUCUUCUCAUUUAGCAGAGCAUUAGUAAAAGAAGAUGCAUUAGGUUGCUGCCCAGAAACUCUUUCUUCUCUGUGAAUGGUGCUAAGGGCAGAGACUUACUUCAGCUCCACAAUCCAGAUGCAACUUCUUCAAGAAAGUUAAGCCUUUGCAGAUUUCUUCUUGACUGGAAGUGGAAUUUGACAAAUAACCAGAAGGACCAGUGACCUUAUAAAUAAAAUUUCAGCUGAGGAAAUAUGUCACUGAUGCCUGUGCUGGAUCAUUAAUAAGGCCACUACAAAUUGGGCAAGAGAAGACUCGGGCUAAUUCUGAGCUCCUGCUGGUGGGAAUCAAGAGCAGCUCUCUUGCAGUUGGUGAACAGGUGUAAAACUAGUAAGAUCAAAACUGUCUUGCAUGUCCACUUUAUCACGAGGAGGAAGGAAUCUGUACAGAAAAUUAAGCAAAAUGAAACAAUGCAGGUCUUGUAUAUGCUGUUGACUGAAGAGAAGUUCCAACUGGGAAUGCGGGGCUCUGUCAAAAUGCAUUUCAAUAUUGCCAGUGUCUGUUGUUCCAAAAUCACAAGCUAAGCCUCCAGAAAGCUAAGCCUCCAUGAGAUUUGGCUUAAAAGAGCAGAAGAUUUGGUAAAUAUAUAUAGAAAUAAAUUUGGGAUUCCAUAUGUGUGUUAGUUGAGUUUGAGGUUCAAAUUUUCAAGCUAUUCUCCACAAGUACUAGACACUGACUUUUUUCAAACAAAAAGAAGAAACCUAAGACCCUUAGGUAAUCAGAUGACUCCAAGAAGUGGCAAUUUAAGGAAAACUCCAAGUAUUAUGUCUAAUAUAGUUAUCAAUAACAAUUGGCAACACUGAUCUGAAAAUCCAAAAGGGUAGGUUGUUACUGAAAGCAGGAUAGCAAAGGCUAAAUUAUACCUCUCCAUCCAGGGGUAAGGUGUAGGGGAGAACAAUUAAAAAAAACAAAGCACUAUCAACACCUUGUAGGUGCUCACCUGACAGCAUCCACAUAUAUGCUAUUGUAAUAUACAUAUAUUUCUGUAGCUACAAGAAGUGGAGGCAGGCAUGUUUCUAUACUGACUGCCUUUUUCAAGUCUUGGACUUUUUAAUAGACUAUAUCUUUGAUAAUUCAUCACAGCAGUGGCUUAAUGUAUUAAGUUACUGUCUUGGUACAUGACCAAUGUUAGUCAAGUUGAAUAAUGACUAGAAGGCUCUCAAAAAUAUUGUGAGAAGCAUGUUAUAAGAACCUAUAUUUUUAAAAAAACUAGAGCAUAGCUAUGUGGACUUUUGCUUGGUUAUCAGCUAAGAAUCUGGUCUAUGUAGGCUAAAAUAAUUUUUCAGUGAUUUGAGACAGUGAAUUCUAAGUUAUUUUGUAUGAUUAAGCAUAAUCUAGUGUUUUCUGUUACACCAGAAAUGUGGGGCAUUUGACUUGUAUGUUGUCCCCUAGUAUACAAUAACAAAUAAGGAGUGGAGACAUUUGGGAUUCUACAGAACAUCUAAAAUAUUAUGAAACAUGUGUAGGUGUUCUAUGAAAUAUCGUGCAAGUGUUAUUGUACAAAAACUAUGUCUAUACUAGACU